Molecule: ribosomal RNA, 429 nt
Filed under: Gemmatimonadota bacterium
Lineage: Bacteria; Pseudomonadati; Gemmatimonadota
Description: Gemmatimonadetes bacterium partial 16S ribosomal RNA
Rfam family: Bacterial small subunit ribosomal RNA
Source: RNAcentral
UAGGGAAUCUUCGGCAAUGGACGAAAGUCUGACCGAGCAACGCCGCGUGAGUGAAGAAGGUUUUCGGAUCGUAAAACUCUGUUGUUAGAGAAGAACAAGGACGUUAGUAACUGAACGUCCCCUGACGGUAUCUAACCAGAAAGCCACGGCUAACUACGUGCCAGCAGCCGCGGUAAUACGUAGGUGGCAAGCGUUGUCCGGAUUUAUUGGGCGUAAAGCGAGCGCAGGCGGUUUCUUAAGUCUGAUGUGAAAGCCCCCGGCUCAACCGGGGAGGGUCAUUGGAAACUGGGAGACUCGAGUGCAGAAGAGGGGAGUGGAAUUCCAUGUGUAGCGGUGAAAUGCGUAGAUAUAUGGAAGAACACCAGUGGCGAAGGCGGCUCUCUGGUCUGUAACUGACGCUGAGGCUCGAAAGAGUGGGGAGCAAACAGG